GGUUCCGUAGUGUAGGGGUUAUCACAUCAGACUCUGAAUCUGAUAACGGGAGUUCGAUUCUCCCCGGGACCU
Molecule: non-coding RNA, 72 nt
Organism: Gaertneriomyces semiglobifer
Lineage: Eukaryota; Fungi; Chytridiomycota; Chytridiomycetes; Spizellomycetales; Spizellomycetaceae
Source: the annotation of a GenBank genome assembly